AACGUACGCUGGCGGCACGCCUAACACAUGCAAGUCGAACGAAGUAGCAAUACUUAGUGGCAGACGGGUGAGUAACAUGUGGGUAUCUGCCCUUUGGCCUGGAAUAACACGAGGAAACUUGUGCUAAUACCGGAUAAGUCUUUACGGAGAAAGCUUUAUGCACCAUUGGAUGAGCCCGCACUUGAUUAGUUUGUUGGUGGGGUAAUGGCCUACCAAGACUGUGAUCAAUAGCUGAUUUGAGAGGAUGAUCAGCCACAUUGGGACUGAGACACGGCCCAAACUCCUACGGGAGGCAGCAGUGGGGAAUCUUGCACAAUGGAGGAAACUCUGAUGCAGCGAUGCCGCGUGAGUGAAGAAGGCCCUUGGGUUGUAAAGCUCUUUCGUCGGGGAAGAAAAUGACUGUACCCGAAUAAGAAGGUCCGGCUAACUUCGUGCCAGCAGCCGCGGUAAUACGAAGGGACCUAGCGUAGUUCGGAAUUACUGGGCUUAAAGAGUUCGUAGGUGGUUGAAAAAGUUAGUGGUGAAAUCCCAGAGCUUAACUCUGGAACUGCCAUUAAAACUUUUCAGCUAGAGUAUGAUAGAGGAAAGCAGAAUUUCUAGUGUAGAGGUGAAAUUCGUAGAUAUUAGAAAGAAUACCAAUUGCGAAGGCAGCUUUCUGGAUCAUUACUGACACUGAGGAACGAAAGCAUGGGUAGCGAAGAGGAUUAGAUACCCUCGUAGUCCAUGCCGUAAACGAUGUGUGUUAGACGUUGGAAAUUAUUUUCAGUGUCGCAGCGAAAGCGAUAAACACACCGCCUGGGGAGUACGACCGCAAGGUUAAAACUCAAAUGAAUUGACGGGGACCCGCACAAGUAGUGGAGCAUGUGGUUUAAUUCGAAGAUACGCGCAGAACCUUACCAACACUUGACAUGUUCGUCGCGACUCUAAGAGAUUAGAGUUUUCGGUUCGGCCGGACGAAACACAGGUGCUGCAUGGCUGUCGUCAGCUCGUGUCGUGAGAUGUUGGGUUAAGUCCCGCAACGAGCGCAACCCUCACUUUUAGUUGCCAUCAUUAAGUUGGGCACUCUGAAAGAACUGCCAGUGAUAAGCUGGAGGAAGGUGGGGAUGACGUCAAGUCCUCAUGGCCCUUACGUGUUGGGCUACACACGUGCUACAAUGGUAUCUACAACAGGAAGCAAGACUGCGAGGUCAAGCAAAUCCUUAAAAGAUACCUCAGUUCGGAUUGCACUCUGCAACUCGAGUGCAUGAAGCUGGAAUUACUAGUAAUCGUGGAUCAGCGUGCCACGGUGAAUGCGUUUCCCGGGUCU
RNAcentral lists this ribosomal RNA (1306 nucleotides) under uncultured bacterium. RNAcentral's name for it is "bacterial SSU rRNA". It matches the Rfam family "Bacterial small subunit ribosomal RNA", at positions 28 to 1381 of the family's 1533-position model. The record is from RNAcentral.